AAAUCGCAGAUUCAGCGGUGUGGUGUAUGGGUCUUUCAGCGGACUUGCUCA
RNAcentral lists this small nuclear RNA (51 nucleotides) under Eremothecium sinecaudum. RNAcentral describes it as "HGLMISCRNATER1". Lineage: Eukaryota; Fungi; Ascomycota; Saccharomycetes; Saccharomycetales; Saccharomycetaceae. The record is from RNAcentral.